GACGAACCGUGCGAACGUUAUUCGGAAUCAUUGGGCUUAAAGGGCGCGUAGGCGGCGGUGUAAGUUGGAAGUGAAAUCCCAUCGGCUCAACCGUGGAAUUGCUCCCAGUACUGCAUCGCUCGAGGGGGAUAGGGGUUUGCGGAACUACCGGUGGAGCGGUGAAAUGUGUUGAUAUCGGUGGGAACGCCAGUGGCGAAAGCGGCAAACUUGACCCUUCCUAACGCUGAUGCGCGAAAGCUAGGGGAGCAAACGGG
RNAcentral lists this ribosomal RNA (254 nucleotides) under uncultured bacterium. Its description in RNAcentral is "partial 16S ribosomal RNA". It matches the Rfam family "Bacterial small subunit ribosomal RNA", at positions 524 to 776 of the family's 1533-position model. The record is from RNAcentral.